Asparagus officinalis (garden asparagus) is the source of this 3547-nucleotide RNA transcript. It is a transcript of the gene named formin-like protein 5, with no coding region annotated. NCBI's taxonomy places the organism in Eukaryota, Viridiplantae, Streptophyta, Magnoliopsida, Asparagales, Asparagaceae. The transcript has 18 exons. The record is from RefSeq and is a predicted model, not a curated record.
AAACAAAAGAUGAAAAAUAACUAAAUAAAUAAAUAAAUAACGCAAAAAACUAAACACAAAUUUCAUCUCCCCUUCGUUUCGUCUCGUCUCUCUUUUCGACUCUCGAAACCCUAGCGAUAUCUGAUCCCUUCUCGGUUGAGAAGAAUGGCGCUUUUACGGCGGUUCUUCAACCGGAAACCCCCUGAUCGGUUGCUGGAGAUCACAGAGAGAGUUUACGUGUUCGAUUGUUGUUUCUCGAAAUAUACACUGAAAGAAGAUGAGUAUGAGGAUUACAUGGAUGGCAUUGUCAUCCAACUGCAGAAUCAUCUACCUGAUGCCUCAUUCAUGGUGUUUAACUUUUUGGAGGGAGAUCAUCAGAGCAAAAUCUCGUUCAUUUUUGCCAAAUACAAUAUUACAGUCAUGGACUAUCCUUGGCAGCACGAAGCAUGGCCUCUGCUUCCGAUGGAGAUGAUUUACCAUUGCUUGAGGUCGAGUGAGAGCUGGCUUUCUUUGCAAGGGCAACACAAUGUGCUGCUAAUGCAUUGCGAAAGAGGAGGAUGGCCAAUUCUUGCUUUUAUGCUUGCGGGUCUUCUUCUCUAUAGGAAACAGUUAAGUGGGGAGCAGAACACUCUGGAGAUGAUAUAUAAGCAAGCUCCUAACGAGCUGCUGCAUGUCGCGUCUCCAUUGAAUCCACAGCCUUCCCAUUUGAGAUAUCUUCAGUAUAUAACUAGACAUGAUAGUGCAUUGGACUGGCUUCCAGGAGGUAAGCAGUUCAGGCUGGACUGCUUGAUUCUUAGAAUUGUUCCCCCUUUUGAUGGGGAAGGGGGAUGCUGGCCUGUCGUUCGUGUAUAUGGUCAAGACCCGGUGACUACUGCUGACAGAACCUCAAAGAUUCUUUUCUCCACGCCAAAGACUAAGAAGCACAUCAGGUGCUAUAGACAGGAAGAGAGUGCAACUGUUAAGGUAAACACCCAUUGCCAAAUUCAAGGGGAUGUUGUCAUUGAAUGUAUCCAUAUGGACGAUACUCUUGAACGAGAGGAUAUAAUGUUCAGGGUCAUGUUCAAUACUGCAUUUGUGCAAUCCAAUGUUCUGGUGCUGAACCUUGAUGACAUUGAUGUUGUAUGGAGUGCUAAGGAUCAGUUACCAAAGGACUUCAAAGUGGAGGUAGUCUUUUCAGACAAAAAUGCUAUUGAUUAUGAUACCACCAUGGACGUGGUAAUUGGAGAUGAAUGCAAGGCUGAAGAUUCUUCUGUAACAGAAGAGUUUUUUGAGGCAGCAGAAGUCUUUAGUAAUGCAGAUUCACAGAGCGAUGCAGACAUCUAUUCACCUGUCGGAUCUGCCUGCCUACGUCCUUCGUCACCGGUGGUGGAUCCUGCUCAACCUCCAUCUCCCAUGAACCAAGAAAAAUCCACCGAAAGCAACCUUGACCCUACCCCUAUUCCUCCAUUACAACAUCAAGGAAAUUUUUAUCAAGGCCCUUCAUCGCCGUCUCCACCACCAGUUUCUUCUGGGUUAGACACUAGUGGAUCAAAUCCUCUUCCAUCACCCUCUACACAACCUCCUGCUCCUUCUCCACCCCCUGAAGUAACUUCAAUAGUUCAAUCACCAUCACCACCUCCUCCUCAUCCUUCAUCAGGAGCACAUGAAAGUGUUCUAACCCCAUCUCCACCCCCAUCAUCUCCAUCUCCAGGAGGCCAAAGUGGGUCUCCAACAUUGUCAUCACCACCGCCACCGCCAAUACCAGUAGGAGGCCAAUGCGUGACUCCCCCUCCACCACCACCUCCAUCCCUGAGAGAUCGUGCUGGACCUCCCAUCCCACCACCUCACCUUGGUCCACGUGCACCUACUCCACCUGCACUACCUAAGGCUGGAGGGCCUCCUCUGCCUCCUCCCUUGGCUGGGGGUGGAGGCCGUGGUCUUGCACAUCCGACAGGCCCUACUUUCUCUGCACCACCUCGUAAGCUCUCAGUGAAACUGUUACACUGGGUGAAAGUAGCAAGACCUGCACAGGGAAGCUUAUGGGCAGAACUCCAAAAUUUUAAUGAUCCUCCCAGUGCUUCAUAUUAUGAUGUAUCAGAGCUUGAAAGUCUCUUCCCUGCAAAUGUUCCAAAACCAGUUGGUAAUUCAAGUUUGAAAGGGAAAUCCAAUGGUUCAAAACCUGAAAAAGUUCGCCUGAUUGAUCUAAAGAGGGCCUAUAACAUUGAAAUUAUGCUGGCGAAUGUCAAGAUUCCACUUCCUGAUAUGAUGAGUGCUGUUUUAGCAUUGGAUGAUUCUAUCUUGGAUGUUGAUCAAGUGGAAAAUCUUAUAAAGUUUUGUCCAACCAAAGAGGAAAUGGAUCUUCUCAAGGGAUACCCUGGUGAUAAGAAAAUCCUUGGAAACUGUGAGCUGUUCUUUCUGGAGUUGAUGAAAGUUCCUCAAGUUGAGUCCAAGUUGAGAGUGUUUUCUUUCAAGAUUCAGUUUCGUUCACAGAUAUCAGAUCUUAGGAAGAAUCUGAACACCGCACAUUCUGCUUGCGUGGAGAUUCAGAACUCUGUUAUAUUAAAGGAAUUCAUGAAGAAAAUUUUACUUCUUGGGAACACAUUAAACCAAGGGACUGCUAAAGGUUCAGCCUUGGGUUUCCGCCUAGAAAGCCUUCUGAAACUUGCAGAUACUCGUGCAGUUAAUAAACUGACGUUGUUGCAUUAUUUCUGUAAGGUUCUUGCCUCAAAGUCACCACAUCUUCUUGACUUUUAUGGGGAUUUAAUUAGUCUGGAAGCUGCAUCAAAGAUAAAAUUGAAGUUCUUGGCUGAAGAAAUGCAAGCUGUUGUCAAAGGUUUAGAGAAAGUUGAGUUGGACCUGACUGCUUCCGAAAACGAUGGCCCCGUAUCAGAAGUUUUUUGUAAGACUUUGAGGGAAUUUACUGCAGUUGCUGUAGCUGAAGUACAAUCUCUGAAAUCGCUUUAUACUGCUGCGGGUAGGAGAGCUGAUGCUCUUGUUCUAUAUUUUGGUGAAGAUCCAGCCCAUUGCACUUUUGAAGAAGGAAGCGGAGUCGACAAAUCCGAGUCAGAUGUUGCAGAAAACAGUAAGCAAGUCCAAAGUUGGAGACCAGCCAGAAAAGAUGUUAGAUGAGAUCCUAUACUUGGCUAUGUUGCAGUGGCAAGUAUAUUUGCUCUGAGCAAUCAGUUUUCCCAAAUCUUCUACUUGGUUCCAUGUUAUCUGAAUCCUGCUAUUUUUGAGACGGAAUUGAUCUCUUCUUUGCUGAUGGGGCCAUCCUCUAUGUUAAUCCCUGUACAAAGUUCUAACCUUUUGCUCGUUCACUUGAAGCUAUUGUUAGAUACAGGCACGGGUAGGCUAUAGAAGCUGUAUAUAUAUAUAUGGAGAGCAAAUGAGAGUAUUAAGCUAUAAAAGUUGUAUCUAUAGAACACAUGUCCAAAAAGAAAAAAGAAAAAGAGGGAAAAUAAGAGAUGUAUUUGUGUUUAUAUUAUCAAAUGCGAUAAGCUAGCAAGCAGUCACUUACGUCCCAAUGUUUUACAUUACAUUCAUCAACAGAAGUUUAUGGUUAUGAGAAAUUGAGGAAAAGCAGGAUUAA